Alosa sapidissima (American shad) is the source of this 868-nucleotide long non-coding RNA. RefSeq lists it as uncharacterized. The transcript has 6 exons. Lineage: Eukaryota; Metazoa; Chordata; Actinopteri; Clupeiformes; Clupeidae. The record is from RefSeq and is a predicted model, not a curated record.
UCUGCCAUUACACAUUUCUGCUGCUCGCACAAGUAUUUUCUACAAGUAUACAAAUCAUUUUGAGACUGUUCUGGCGCUUCCUGUUGAAUAGCCAAUGGCGAUCCUCAGGUUUGGCUAGCCAACCAUGAAUCUCAGUUCACUAACCAAUCACAGAGCAGGAGCAGCGCCGUCGUUGUCUGUGGGUGCAACCAAACCUGGAGUCUACGUUUGGAGCACGCUAGUUUCCUGUAUUCCUUGAGUUUCUUAUGGAUCCCCAGUUGCUGCCUCCUUCUGAAGCACAGGUUAUUAGAGAGGCUGAAAACCAGACUGGAACAGGCUCUUCAAAGGCAGCCUCUGGACCUGGACUAUUUAGAGUUCCUAUGUACCAGUGAGUUGAGCCUAGUUCACCGAGUACUCACAUGCCAUUUCCAGAAGAGGUCAUAGGCAGACGGGAAAAGCAGGCCUUAAAAGAGGGCUACAGGAUACUGGGGUGCUCCCAAUGAUAACAGAACGGCCAGAACUGGCUAGAGUUCUGUUCCCACAAGGUGUCUCAUCUCUGAUGGAUCCUAAGAUGAUUUUGAAAAGAGUGGUUUGACCAGAUGAGGCGGAGGUUGACGAAGAUGAAAUGGAAGACUGCUCACCUACCUCAGACAAUACGCUUUUCUUUAGAGACAUUGAAAGACCUGGUGGUCUUCUGGACGGGAUGGUCUGUUGGCAGGGGCAAUGCCGACUGUACUUUGAAACUCCCCCUAGGGACAAGAAUGUAUGACACCUUCAAAGAAGCUAUGAAUGCAGGGCUGAAAUAAAGCAAUUAUGGUUUUGGCUUGAUCUAGUGUUUUCUGCAAGUUCAAUGCAGUAUAGUCAACAAUUUCAGUGUUUCAGACGGUGA